CUGCUGCCUUCCGUAGGAGUUUGGGCCGUGUCUCAGUCCCAAUGUGGCCGAUCAACCUCUCAGUUCGGCUACGCAUCAUUGCCUUGGUAAGCCUUUACCCCACCAACUAGCUAAUGCGUCGCGGGCCCAUCCAAAAGCGGUAGCAUAGCCACCUUUUACAUAGUUACCAUGCGGUAACUAUGGUUAUGCGGUAUUAGCACCUGUUUCCAAGUGUUAUCCCCCUCUUUUGGGCAGGUUGCCCACGUGUUACUCACCCGUUGCCA
This 263-nucleotide ribosomal RNA is filed under the name uncultured bacterium. Its description in RNAcentral is "partial 16S ribosomal RNA". The record is from RNAcentral.